CAGUCGCCACGGUAAUACGUAGGGUGCAAGCGUUAAUCGGAAUUACUGGGCGUAAAGCGUGCGCAGGCGGUUAUAUAAGACAGAUGUGAAAUCCCCGGGCUCAACCUGGGAACUGCAUUUGUGACUGUAUAGCUAGAGUACGGCAGAGGGGGAUGGAAUUCCGCGUGUAGCAGUGAAAUGCGUAGAUAUGCGGAGGAACACCGAUGUCGAAGGCAAUCCCCUGGGCCUGUACUGACGCUCAUGCACGAAAGCGUGGGGAGCAAACAGGAUUAGAUACCCCAGUAGUCCCUGUCUCUUAUAC
RNAcentral lists this ribosomal RNA (301 nucleotides) under uncultured bacterium. RNAcentral's name for it is "partial 16S ribosomal RNA". It matches the Rfam family "Bacterial small subunit ribosomal RNA", at positions 509 to 807 of the family's 1533-position model. The record is from RNAcentral.